UGAGAGGUGUAGAAUAAGUGGGAGGCCC
RNAcentral lists this non-coding RNA (28 nucleotides) under Gallus gallus (chicken). The record is from RNAcentral. RNAcentral also lists the same sequence under 4 other names. Lineage: Eukaryota; Metazoa; Chordata; Aves; Galliformes; Phasianidae.